Molecule: ribosomal RNA, 497 nt
Filed under: uncultured bacterium
Lineage: Bacteria
Description: partial 16S ribosomal RNA
Rfam family: Bacterial small subunit ribosomal RNA
Source: RNAcentral
GACGAACGCUGGCGGCGUGCCUAAUACAUGCAAGUAGAACGCUGAAGAGAGGAGCUUGCUCUUCUUGGAUGAGUUGCGAACGGGUGAGUAACGCGUAGGUAACCUGCCUGGUAGCGGGGGAUAACUAUUGGAAACGAUAGCUAAUACCGCAUAAAAUGGAUUAUCGCAUGAUAAUCCAUUGAAAGGUGCAAAUGCAUCACUACCAGAUGGACCUGCGUUGUAUUAGCUAGUUGGUGGGGUAACGGCUCACCAAGGCGACGAUACAUAGCCGACCUGAGAGGGUGAUCGGCCACACUGGGACUGAGACACGGCCCAGACUCCUACGGGAGGCAGCAGUAGGGAAUCGUCGGCAAUGGACGGAAGUCUGACCGAGCAACGCCGCGUGAGUGAAGAAGGUUUUCGGAUCGUAAAGCUCUGUUGUAAGAGAAGAACGAGUGUGAGAGUGGAAAGUUCACACUGUGACGGUAUCUUACCAGAAAGGGACGGCUAACUACGUG